Molecule: long non-coding RNA, 563 nt
Organism: Poeciliopsis prolifica (blackstripe livebearer)
Lineage: Eukaryota; Metazoa; Chordata; Actinopteri; Cyprinodontiformes; Poeciliidae
Exons: 3
Source: RefSeq, a predicted model, not a curated record
AAGAGAUAAAUUGAGGCGCAGCCUCAUUAACAUUCUCUCUUCCUUGUCACGGAGCAAGAGGAAGGACUCGCUGCUGCAAGGAAACUGAAAAAUUCGUAGUUUGAAAGCCUAAAAUGCGGAAGGAUGCAUUAGGAGAACCACUUGAGGUGGGAUGUCAGGAGUCUACUUGUUGACCUAACGCUUCAAUUUUGAUAAAUUUCUACUGAUUUGUUAUAUAUCCUGAAAGCGCUACAUGUAAAAAAAAAACCCAAUAAGUUUUAAUUUAAGGCCUAAAUGACAAUAAACUUUUCUGCAAAACAAAAAGUAAAGCCCCAAAGAUCUUUUGUGUAACUGUUUUGUUUUCCAAGGUUUUCAGUUUUUUAUUUUCUUAAGGGUAGCUGGAAUCACUAUUGAGUCACGCAGUAAAGAACCUGAAAACGUUUAUAGCAACUCGGUUCCUAUAGUUUGGCCAAAGGUUUUACUUUGUUAGAAACAAUGGAAAAUUGGAGACAUACAAAAAUAAAAAUACAGAAAUAGUCAUAAUACAAAAAUAAACAUGUACAAGAAUAAGAUCAUUAUCAAAA